Molecule: long non-coding RNA, 232 nt
Organism: Dermochelys coriacea (leatherback sea turtle)
Lineage: Eukaryota; Metazoa; Chordata; Testudines; Dermochelyidae
Exons: 3
Source: RefSeq, a predicted model, not a curated record
CCCCUCCCUCCAUUCCUGCUGCCUUAUUGUUAAGGUAGUAGCCUCACACUCUACAAUGUGUUAACCCUUGAGGGCUCAGCCGAGUGCUAGGUCAUCAUUUAGCAGUAGGGCAUUCCCUGGGAACUAUCCCACACUCUGACUUCACCACCUCAACCAAGCUUCACAAUCAUCAUUGCUGUGUACAGUAUUAAAUUAUUUGUUUAAAACUUAUGACUAUGUGUGUGUGUGUGUG